This 1130-nucleotide long non-coding RNA is filed under the name Triticum aestivum (bread wheat). RNAcentral's name for it is "long non-coding RNA (TAES_LNC017172)". Lineage: Eukaryota; Viridiplantae; Streptophyta; Magnoliopsida; Poales; Poaceae. The record is from RNAcentral.
UCAGAAUUAACAAGAAUGAUAACGUGCUCCGACUUGAGCGGUUUAGGAACAGCUGGAAGGCUCUAGGGGAAUAAAGAUGGAAUGACUUCUAAUUUUUAGGUCCGUAUGAUCUGAAAUACUUGCACAAAAACCUCGAGAAAGCGUUCCUGGAAAUCUUGGCCCAAAAAAGGACGUUUAGUAAUUCUAAAAGGGACUACAAGAUGAAAAAUAAUAGUUUUGCCAGUUAAAGUUUGAGAUUCGAUGGUGUCGUAGAUCCGUUUGGUCAUCAGGUGUUACGAGCCACACCCAUGUCUAGCUAGAAUAGUGUGUCAGGCUCAGGCUGGAGAAGAAACAGGGUACAAACUGAUGAAAGAAUUAUCAUACUGAGGGAAUUCACUCAGAACUAACAAGAAUGAUAACGUGCUCCGACUGGAGCGGUUUAGGAACUGCUGGAAAGGUCUAGGGGAAUAAAGAUGGAAUGACUUCUAAUUUUUAGGUCCGUAUGGUUUGAAAUACUUGCACACAAACCGCACGAAAGCAUUCCUAGAAAUCUCGGCCCAAAAAAUGACGUUUAGUAAUUCUAAAUGGGACUAUAGGAUGAAAAACAAUAGUUUUGGCAGUUAAAGUUUGAGAUUCGAUGGUGCCGUAGAUCCGUUUGGUCAUCAGGUGUUACGAGCCACACCCAUGUCUAGCUAGAAUAGUGUGUCAGGCUCAGGCUAGAGAAGAAACGGGGAACAAACUGAUGAAAGAAUUAUCAUAACGAGGGAAUUCACUCAGAACUAACAAGAAUGAUAACGUGCUCCGACUGGAGCGGUUUAGGAACUGCUGGAAGGCUCUAGGGGAAUAAAGAUGGAAUGACUUCUAAUUUUUAGGUCCGUAUGAUUUGAAAUACUUGCACACAAACCCCGAGAAAGCGUUCCUGGAAAUCUCGGCCCAAGAAAGGACGUUUAGUAAUUCUAAAAGGGACUACAGGAUGAAAAACAAUAGUUUUGGCAGUUAAAGUUUGAGAUUCGAUGGUGCCGUAGAUCCGUUUGGUCAUCAGGUGUUACGAGCCACACCCAUGUCUAGCUUGAAUAGUGUGUCAGGCUCAGGAUAUAGAAGAAACAGGGAACAAACUGAUGAAAGAAUUAUCAUACCGAGGGAAUUCACUC